RNAcentral lists this ribosomal RNA (253 nucleotides) under uncultured bacterium. RNAcentral describes it as "partial 16S ribosomal RNA". It matches the Rfam family "Bacterial small subunit ribosomal RNA", at positions 524 to 776 of the family's 1533-position model. The record is from RNAcentral.
UACGUAGGGGGCAAGCGUUAUCCGGAAUUACUGGGUGUAAAGGGAGCGUAGACGGUAAAGUAAGUCUGGAGUGAAAGGCGGGGGCCCAACCCCCGGACUGCUCUGGAAACUAUGUUACUAGAGUGCAGGAGAGGUAAGCGGAAUUCCUAGUGUAGCGGUGAAAUGCGUAGAUAUUAGGAGGAACACCAGUGGCGAAGGCGGCUUACUGGACUGUAACUGACGUUGAGGCUCGAAAGCGUGGGGAGCAAACAGG